CAAACGUGCCGUACUGUGAUUGGGUCCCGCCAGAAUGCGAGCACAGGGAGCCACGGGAUAGGCUGAGGACAUAGGGUCAAUUACCAUACUCGCGCAUGCGCGGACCUUAGGACACGUAGUCCUAGGAGCAUAGCCAAAUAUGGAGUUGUUUACAGCUGGGCUACCAGGAAGCCAGCGCCAUCUUAGAAUGGCGGCUCCCUACACCCUAGUCUACAGCUCUGUCUUCCAAGCCCAUGUGCUCACCAUCGGCAUGAGCAGAGGCAGCCGAAGACAGUGAAGUUUGCUUCCCAUCUGAGUUUUGCCCCCUCCAUAUGAUGCUUACAUCCAUUCCUGAACUGGAAUUGUGAGUGUGACCUUGUUUAGAAAUAGAAUCUUUGCAGAUGUGACCGAGGCUCUCAAUAUGAGAUUAUCCUGGACCCUAAACCUAACGACUGCUGUCCUUAUUAAGAGAAAGGAGAGAGGGAUUUAAUACAAAGGGCAGGGUCAUGGAAGAUGAGACAGACAUUGGAGUGAUGUGUUCGUAAGCCAUGGCAAUGGCAGGUGGAAGCUGGGAGGGACAGGCAGGAGGCAAGUCCCUAAGAUCCCCAGAAGAAGGUCACUGUGCCGCCUCCUUCGGCUUAGACUGCUGCUUUCGGUAUCUGUUAGGGAUGCAUACUUUCUGCUUUUUAAAGUCACAGUCUUUGUAAGAAUUUGUUGUGGUGUUUUUAAGGAACAAACACACCAUCCAAGUUGAGAAGGGAGCGUCCAUCUGCGGGGUCAUCUCAGCUGUACACUGCCGACCUCUCCCCACAGAUUGUGUUCUCCCUGGGUAGGCAAGGCUCUCCCCAGCAGGCAAGGCUCUCCCUGGGCAGGGAAGACAAGGCCUCCUGUGGAAGCUUCUGGCCCACAGUUGCUGAGUGAUACCCGCAUGUGAUAAAGCUGUCCUCUUUCUCAGAGGCCACAUCAAAUUCCAGUUGACUUCUGAUCACACUAACAUGCUUUCUCAUGCGUUCUCAGGGGAAGGCCCAAGGUAGGUUCAUUUCCUAACUUUAUAAUCGACAUAGUUUUUUCUUUCAGUAGUCCAUGAAGCAAGCCUCGGCUAGUGACAAUCUGCCUACCUGUAGCCUGUUGCUCAGAGAAGUGAUUCUCAACCCUUAGGACCCAUCAGAGCUGUGUAGAAGGCUGGUUAAAACAAACAAACAAACAACAACAACAUCAACAAAAAACUCCCUUCCCUUCAGCGCCUUCCAGAUUUCAGGUGCAGUAGGUCUGGAGAGAGAGAAUCCUCCUUUCCAGCAGGUCUGCAGGUGACGUCAUUGGCACGGCCUUCCACCCCCUGCCCCCAGAUGUUUGGGAACAGCAACAGCUGUGUUUCUCAAGCUCUGCUGCUUCCCGGAAUCACUGGGGGCUUCUAAAAACCCCAGCCAAAGCUGCACUCCGCUCUGCUGAAUAAGAGUCUCUGAGAGGUGCGGGCAUCAGGGGCUUUUAAGGCCCCUCAGGUAAUUCCUGUAGGAAGUCAGACAAAAAGCUUAGAGGUCUGCUUCCCCUGCACCCCCCCCUUCCCAGCAUUAAUGCCCUGGCCAGGCUUGGGGUCCACCUCUCCUAACAGGUCUGUGGGUCCACUUUAGGGCCCAGCAUAUGAAAUAGAAAUGGAGUCCUCCGGCAGGGAGAGCGCCUCACUCCUGUCCCCAACGAUCUAAAGGCUCUGCCUGGGGGUCCAGAGUGUGAUGUUUAGAGAUGGCGGCCAAAGGCCGGAAUACAAACCUCUGGGCUAGUGCUUUGCGGAAGUCUCCCAUUGCCUGUGGCUUCGCUUUCCACCAGCUCAGCAAUGGUGACGGAUCUUGAUCCGUAAAUACUAAAUGGAAACUUCCAGAACUUAACAAAUUCAUGAGUUUAAACACAGCCCUGUUUGACAUGCCGUCGCAAAAAACAUGGUACUGGCCUCAAUGAGAAUAAGAGAUAGUUCAUUCUGGAGCCAAGUAUGAGUGACCGUGGCCUGGAAACACAAAUCAGAUCGCCUCGAGUUCUCAAAUGUUUCACCUCGGAAGCGGUUACCUGAGACUUGAUGAGCCGCGUAACAAAGAAAGUCGUAAAUCAAAGUGUUAUGGGUAGGCGGGGACUGAAAAGCAGAGACAACUGCUACAGCUUUCAGAUAAUAUCUGAAGGCACUUUUUAGCUUUUGGAUUGGUGGGAGCUGGUGCCCUGCUAAGAACACAUCCUAGAUUUUCACAGGCACAAGGGUGUUAGGCCACACACAGGUGUGAGCAGUGAGUGGCUUUCAAAGGGUCUGAAAAUAGCCUAAGAAAUUUUGACUCUGCUUCACAACAGUAUAACUCUCCAUAAUCUUAAAGCUCCAUCAUUUGGCGGUGUGGAAUAUUCAACACGGGUGCAGCUCCCUAGCAGUCUCUCUGUCUCUCUGUCUGUCUCUCUCCCCCAGCUUCAGUUCACAGAGAUAAAACAACUCUUUCCCAAUGGGUCUAUGCUGUAUACACUGCCUUUCUGUUAGUAUCACCUUGGCCAUUAGAUCCACGUCUUUGUAUUCAGAUACUUGUGUUGUGGUCAGGUCCCCCCAGGUGACUCUGAGGGAAAAGGUGAAGGCGAUCGUCACCAGGAAAGAGAAACACGUGCCAAGCCUGCUAAGACGUGCAGCAAGAUCAAGCUUGUGGGACUGUGUGAAAGCCACACUAGUUUUGCUUUUACACCGCAAACUGCAUAGACCCGGGCUUCAGUGUGUGUGGGGGGUGGUAGCGGGGCGGACGGGAAUGCUCACUGAAGACCGAGGUGCUGGCUUCCCAGUGGAGGGUCUUGAAACGUGUCACUGGACGCUGGAGAGAUUGCUCAGCAGCUGAGCGCACUUGUUGAUCUUGCAAAGGACCCUGGUUCGAUUCCCAGCACCUACAUGGUGACUCACGACUAUCCCUAGCUCCAGUGCCAGGGGGUCUGACACCCUCUUCUGAACUCUGAGGACACUAGGCACGCAAAUGGCAUACAUUCAUACAGACAGACAAGACAUUCAUACGCAUAAAAUAUCAAGUAAUUGUAAGUUUUUUUUUUUUAAAAAAGAAGCCUAUUUCCUGCAGGGAGGGGAUGGGACUUUACCUGCCUCGCGGAUUUGAUCCAGCUGCUGACCCUUGACUCUCAUUUCCACCUGUGAAAUGGGGACAACAAAAAUACCCACAUCGCCGCAAAGCUGUGAGAGACCAGACGAGCCAAAUGCGUCUAAAACUCCAUUCUGUGAAUUGUACCUAGGCCUGAUUCCUCCUUCAUCUCCCUGGACCACUCUCCUGCUCUUCAGAACUGGCGGGAGCCAUAGCCAGGACAUAGAGUCUCCUCUCUUGGUGUGAUCUUCCUCGUUCACAGAGUUGAACAAAAGAUGCUUCUAUUCCACCAUCUUAGCCGAGAUCUCUGGUGUCCUUACAACAAGAGGAAAUUCUUACGUUCUGAAGGAAGACAAUAUAAGGACACAGAGUGAAGACGGUCAUCUAGGGCCCCGGGACAGACACCUGGGACACAUCCUUUCCUCACAGGCCUCAAAAGGAAGAAAUCCUGUGACAUUCACACUUCAGCUUUCCACUCUCCAAAACUGUAAGGAACACCUUUUACUGUUUACACCACCCAGACUCCGGAACUGUGUUAUGGCAGCCCUGGUUAUCUUACAGAUACGGAAGCUACAACCUGGUAGGAAAGAACAAUCAUGGACCCAGCAGAGAUCUGUUCACCUCUUUAGUCUUUCCCCCACGAGCUUCUCCAGCCGCCUCACUGCCUGCUGCCUCUGGUGUCUUCUCUUCAGAGAGAGCUUCCUCAGAAAAUGCUGUCACAGUUCAGACGUCUCUAGGGUGGUGGGUUUGCUACGGCUUCCGUCGUAUUCGAAGCCUCCAGGAUCACCACCCCAGAAGGGCCAUCUGUGCACCUCAGAGUCUUUGCUUCAUUGGACACCCAGUGAAGAGUAUCUCUCCUUUUCUGGCCCAGACUCUUGGGGGGGGGUGUUUUCCUUAGACCUGUUUCUCCCAUUUUCAGAGGAGGCCAGUGUGGCAUGACAAAUGCUUUUUUAAUGACCGAGAUCUGCAUUUAAACAUAUUUUCGUUUUUUGCUGGGCCAUUAAGCCUUUAAACCCGUCAAUAUUUUAAUGGUUUUUAUAGUCCACUGAUGUACAGGUUUGUUUGCAUUAUUUCACCGUCCAUGUUCCUUGCAAAUGAGAUGCCCCGGCUAGUGGCCACCAAGGAGUUGUUAACACAUGGCGCUCUUCUGCAUGGGCCCUUGACUCCAUCACAAGCUAGUCUGCCUAAAACCAGAGGAAGGAAGCCUAUUUACCGACACGACAAACAAAUGACAAACAAUUUAACAGUGGCUGCUUUUAUGCCACAUUUAUCUUAAAAUUCUGUCUGCUUUUGGGAGUCCAUGAGAGCGGAAUGUCUUUGGGAAACCAUUUGGGGCCAAUGUGGCUUGUCUUAGUAUACACAACUUGCUGCAACAGGCUAGCACAGACUGGGUAUCUUCCAAACAUAGAGAUGGAUUUUUCACAGUUCUGGGGCCCGGGAAUUUGAGAUCAAGGCGUCAGCAGGCUCAGUGUCUAGUGAGACAGACCUGUUCCUAGGUCAGAUGAGGCAGUUUCUCUCUCUGUCCUCGUGGUAUAGAAUAGACUGGGGCAGAUGAGUCAGGGAGCUUUUUUAAAGGGCACUAAUCCUGUCCUGAGAACCCCACCCUCAUGACCUAACCAUACCCCAGUGGUCUCACCUUACACCAUCACAUUGAAGAGUCAGAAUUUCAGCUUCUAAGAGGAGGGUGUAAACCUUCCACCUCUGACGUUGACAGAUACUCAGAAUAGGCCCAUUUGGGAUAGAGUGGACUCUGUCUUUUGCUUCAGCCCGAAUCCAUCUUCUGCUCUUCAUUGGAGCCAAUCUACAGAGGUACAGUGAGAGCCUGCUGAUGACAUUAGGGGUCAGCUCCAGAAGCUGGACCUGGUCAGAAGUUCAAUUUAAGCUACAUAGGGAUUUGGCGUGCACAUUUUGUUACACCUGUCCCAGAGAUAAUAACACAGGAGACUCCUGACCAAGCCUUAACUGAUAAUGUCACCCACACACGCAGAUCUUGUGUUCUUAUGCUCACCCCCCUGCAGCUAUACGGUCUGGUUACUGGUUCAUGGAUCGGUCACACUAUACUUUAUAUUUGAUGGCUACUCUCUACGUUUCUUUUCAAACUUUUACCAUGUCGCAGUGGCGGCAGCCUCAGACUGCUGGUGUUUGCCCUGUCUGUGGACCGACUCUCUAAGAGGCUCACACCAUGGUGACAUUGCCCAAUGUGCCCGUCUCAGAAUGUGUCCCUGCUGCAAAGUGGCACCUGCGUGUGAACAGUUCACAGCUGUGUUCCUGAGCCUGUGCUUCUCUUCUUCCGCUCUUUGGGACUGUUUCUGAGCCUGUUACACACUGUUGCCAUCACUGUGGCUUUUGUAGUGUUGAGCGAAUCUCCACUUUGCAUUUUAAAAAGCUAUCCAGUUACAGAGUUCCUCACAAAGAAAGCCAACCAGCACAUUGACUGGCUUUGUCUUAAAUGUACGGUUGAAUCAUUAAUGUAAUUAGGUACUUACAAAGUUACCCAAUGCACGCCAUCCUUUAAGACACUUGAUCCAAAGCAUGGAAUGUGUGCUGUUAACACAGAUCAUUUUAUGUGUCCUUAUUAGAACUUUAAAAACGGGUGUAGACGUUUUGUGUGUUCUGGUUCAUAAACUCCUACGUAGCUGGUAAUUCAUGCCGCUGUUCCGAAUACUAUCAUCAGAGUAAUACUUUCUAGCAGAGACUGUGGGCGGAGGCAGAUGCUGCUGAUUUUUCCGGGUUGAUCUUGCAUCUGACACACUUGCUGAACCUUCGCAGUUUGCUCUUGUUUGAAACAUUGUUUUUCCAAGGCGAUGGAUGUUUUGUUUUUACGCUGCUAUCAGAAGUGGACCCCAUCCCCCAACCUCUGUGGUGGUUGGUGGUGGGAACCAGGGCAAGUGUGACUCACUGAGAAGUGGAAAAUCUUCAGGCCGCUCUGUGCUGCUCUGUGGGUUCCUUGUAGCUUUUGGAAACCUUUCCUGUCAGGCCACCAACACAGGGAUGGAGAAAGGGGGGGGGGGCUAAAGUCCUAUGAAUGGAAAGAGGUGGGGAAAUACAGAAAGAAGGAAGCCAGAGGGAAGAGAACAGAAUAGAGGCUGAGAGGGACUUGGGCCGAGACAGAGGUCCGCCUUGGACUUGAGAGGCAGCUGAGAAAAUCGAGGUAAAAGAGCCUGAUGUUCCAGAGGGUGGACCAGAUGACCUCUGGUUCAGCAAGACCAUCCAAAGAAAUCCCUGGGAUCAUUGCCCCCCUAAUGUAAGCCAUGGAGGAGCCCUGGCGCUACAGACAGUCUUGGGUUAUGACAAUCACUCCAACUCAGCACACACUCUCCAGCUAAGAGAGGCCCAGCUCCAUCAGAAGCCACCACGCUGUUGGGGCUAUGACCCCCAAAGCUUCUCAAGCCGAGGUAUGUCUCCAGAUCCAAACUCUCUGCACCUCGGAGCUUCGGAAGUCAGCGUCAAACCCAGGAGGCGUCCAGUAUUGGCUCCCAGGAGAAGCUGCUUGAGAACCUUAUACCAGCUUAUUGAUCACCUUGCUUUAUGAGAAACUACAGCUAAGUGAUCCUGCUUUGGUUGGGGAACCUCCAUGUCCCCAUAAAAAAACAACAUAUGGGGCUACCACUGCCCUGUACAGUGUUCUGGGAACCCUGGAGACAGGAGCCUGAUUUUAGUGGCCAGUGGCUGUGAAAUCCGGAAGUGAGCAGGGGCCUUUGUUCUCCCUUGUGGCUCCACCCUGGAUCAAACAGGAGCAGUAAGUGAGGCUGAGCUUUCCUGGAUUGAUUCAGCUCAAUUCCCGGCUUUUGCCUCUUAAUUGUUUUCAACUAUUUCUGCACACCAGGUUUGGAGCUCUGAACCUCUUGGGGAAACCUGACUUUUUUUUUUUUUUUUAAUGGAGACAGGGAUGAGCAGAGAUGCUCGGCAGGUCUGUUCUUGCUGCAGGAAGCAAAAGAUGCCUUCGGACCAUACUCUGUGCCAAGGCCUGAGGGUCUCCCGCGGAGAUGGGCCUCCCAAUGCCUGCCUGUAAGAAACCCUUGAAGAGGCCAGACUUUCUUUUAAAUAUGUAAGAGCAGGGUGUGGCUGGCCAAUGGGAAGGUGAGAGAGCCAUCCAAUCCAGCAGGUCUUCUGAGCUUGUCAAGUGAAGGCUGGACCCAGACACCCCCAAAGCCUGCCGGUGAGACUGAACCUCGUGUGAGCCGGUUUCUGAUUAUGACCUGUCUCCACACGCCCAGUGGCUGCCAAACAAUGGCAGUGACUAAGCUUUAUAAAUAGGACACUGAGAGUAAAAAUCACAGGAAAUUC
Molecule: long non-coding RNA, 7364 nt
Organism: Peromyscus leucopus (white-footed mouse)
Lineage: Eukaryota; Metazoa; Chordata; Mammalia; Rodentia; Cricetidae
Exons: 2
Source: RefSeq, a predicted model, not a curated record